This 440-nucleotide ribosomal RNA is filed under the name uncultured bacterium. Its description in RNAcentral is "partial 16S ribosomal RNA". It matches the Rfam family "Bacterial small subunit ribosomal RNA", at positions 338 to 795 of the family's 1533-position model. The record is from RNAcentral.
CCUACGGGAGGCAGCAGUAGGGAAUAUUCCUCAAUGGGGGAAACCCUGACGCAGCAACGCCGCGUGGGUGAUGAAGGUUUUCGGAUCGUAAAAUCCUUUUGUUAGAGAAGAUAAUGAAGGUAUCUAACGGAUCAGCACCUGCUAACUCCGUGCCAGCAGCCGCGGUAAUACGAAGGGUGCAAGCGUUACUCGGAACCACUGGGCGUAAAGAGCGCGGAGGCGGGAUAGCAAGUCAGAUGUGAAAUCCUAUGGCUUAACCAUAGAAGGGCAUUUGAAACUGUGAGUCUAGAGUACGGGAGAGGUAGGUGGAAUUCUAUGUGUAGGGGUAAAAUCCGUAGAGAUCAAGAGGAAUACUCAUGGCGAAGGCGACCCUCUAGUAUAUAACUGACGCUGAGGCGCGAAAGCGUGGGGAGCAAACAGGAUUAGAUACCCCUGUAGUC